CAGCCGCCACGGUAAUACGUAGGUGGCAAGCGUUGUCCGGAAUUAUUGGGCGUAAAGGGCUCGCAGGCGGUUUCUUAAGUCUGAUGUGAAAGCCCCCGGCUCAACCGGGGAGGGUCGUUGGAAACUGGGAAACUUGAGUGCAGAAGAGGAGAGUGGAAUUCCACGUGUAGCGGUGAAAUGCGUAGAGAUGUGGAGGAACACCAGUGGCGAAGGCGACUCUCUGGUCUGUAACUGACGCUGAGGAGCGAAAGCGUGGGGAGCGAACAGGAUUAGAUACCCCCGUAGUCCCUGUCUCUUAUAC
This 301-nucleotide ribosomal RNA is filed under the name uncultured bacterium. RNAcentral describes it as "partial 16S ribosomal RNA". It matches the Rfam family "Bacterial small subunit ribosomal RNA", at positions 509 to 807 of the family's 1533-position model. The record is from RNAcentral.